UACAGAGGGUGCAAGCGUUAAUCGGAAUUACUGGGCGUAAAGCGCGCGUAGGUGGUUCGUUAAGUUGGAUGUGAAAUCCCCCGGGCUCAACCUGGGAACUGCAUUCAAAAACUGACGAGCUAGAGUAUGGUAGAGGGGUGGUGGAAUUUCCUGUGUAGCGGUGAAAAUGCGUAGAUAUAGGAAGGAACACCAGUGGCGAAGGCGACCACCUGGACUGAUACUGACACUGAGGUGCGAAAGCGUGGGGAGCAAACAGG
This 257-nucleotide ribosomal RNA is filed under the name uncultured bacterium. RNAcentral's name for it is "partial 16S ribosomal RNA". It matches the Rfam family "Bacterial small subunit ribosomal RNA", at positions 524 to 776 of the family's 1533-position model. The record is from RNAcentral.